Non-coding RNA from Manis javanica (Malayan pangolin), 2657 nucleotides. The record is from RefSeq and is a predicted model, not a curated record. Lineage: Eukaryota; Metazoa; Chordata; Mammalia; Pholidota; Manidae.
AGGACACAAGUGCAGAAACAGUCCUGCUGAACCUUGAAAGCGAUUUGUGAUCUAACACGUGCAAAAUGAGAAAACGAGAGCAAGGCUUCACAACCCCUCAAGACGAAACGGAGGCCCAGAGAGCUGCAGUCGGCUGGAGGAGAUGAGUGUGGACCUGGGGGUCGGCUCGCAGCCUGGGCCCAGCUAUGCCCAGGACCCUUGCUGUGCGAGGUGGGCUGGGAUUCAUCUCUCGGAACGCUUCAACCACAGAGGAUGUGGCACAAAAUCGCAUGGACCCACUGCCCUGUGGUAAAUCCACGAUCAAUACAUCUCAAGACAGGUGCCAUCAGAAUGCCUCCGAAAGGGAAACCGGGGGACCUUUUGCCCUACAGUGAGCACUUUGGGGAGACUGGUGAAUCACGGUCCCAGGAAGGGGCCUUCUGGCAUUCUCAGUGCCGAGGGGUGGUUGGGGGAAGGGUAUGGCCAUGGCUCGGCCUUCCAUGCCAACGUUCUUUCUGCAAAACAAGGAGACCGGAGAGGAGGACCGGACUUCUACUUUCCCUUUACGGUGCCUUCCCAACACAGUGAUGAGCGACACACUGUGGACAAGGGUUCAUGUUCUCUGCUGCUGAACUUUGGCGACACGAAUGACUCUACAACGGCUUCUGUUAUUUGCUGAAAUAUUCCUACUUGAGAAAAGAGCAAGAAAAUUCAUUUAGUGAAUCUAAAACCCCUCUUCAGAAGGGCAUAUUCCAAAGGGUGCCCCAGUGUGGAGAGGCCUUAAGGAGAAAGGGAUUUGAGAGCAAAGGCCUGGGGUUCACAUGCCAGUUCCCCAUUUCUGGCUGAUUGAUGUUAACUGUUUUUUAGCCUCAUUUCCACCCCUGCUCUCCCAACCCCCAAAAAAGCAAACCAAUUCCAUGUACAUGAGAUUGUUCAUGUGACAUAUUUGUGAAGACACUUGGCAUCACGGAACCCAAAUGCCAAUAGCAGUUUCCUUAGAUUGGUUAAAAAGAUGAAUUUGUUAAUGGAGUUACAUCUUCAGUCUGUUCUUGCAUACAUAUUCCCUUGGGAACCAGUUUCAAAGGACAUCCACCUUUUGGCAAGGGAAAAAGAGGUGACAGAAACCUAUUCCUCAGGCUGGCACAGGUCCGGGAGCCGUGGGGUGGCCCGCACCCCACGAAAACCUCCGUCCCCCAUUUACGGUGCAGCCGCCCCACCUCCGGGUCUGCCUCCAGCUGUCUAUUUCUCCACUUCCUGCCAACCAACCGCAAAUAAAGGAACAAAGUCAGAUAACUUCCAUUUCCGAAGCGCUGUUCUUUGGAGAUAUCUAAUAGAAGUAAUACAAUCGUCUGGCUCUAAGGGGAGUCACAGACUCGAGGCUGAAGGUGGUGAUGAUCGGUUACCAAGGACCCAAGGGCCGGGCUCUGUGCAGGAAUUAUCGCGGAGACGCAGAAACCAGCUCGUGAGGUGGGAGCCACCCUCCCGUUAGGACACCUGAGGGCCCUGAGGCAGGUGGCGUGAGUGGCUGGGAUCUGAAGCCGGGAUGGCCGCAGCCUGUCAUUCCCGUCGGCCUCUCCUGGGUCUGCAAGCGCUUCCCUCUUACACCGUCCCUCUCCCGAACUUCUGAGGCACCCACUCUGUGCCACACUACUUAGCAAUGGCGUGCCGUCUUGUCCUAUUUGGGUUAGACUUAGCAUGCACUCAGAUCCUAAGCCGUGCUCCCGGCCCAAAGCACGUCACUGGCGUAACCUUCCAGUCACAACCGGGCUUAGAGAUGUGGACGAGCAAUGGCUUUCUUCUGCGCAAGAAGUUUUAAUGAGCAUCUUGUUUAUAUUUCAGGGAAGUUUCAGUCAAACUUGAAAAUGACUUCUCUGUAGCUAACUAGUCUCAAAUACCUUGCCGGUUCCACUUCAAACUCUGCACAUGCAGCAAAACAGUAUUCGGGAAAUGAAUGAAUGGGUGCAGAGAAAAGAUACUUAGUUUUGGUUGGUCCUUACAAGCCUACAAAUUUAGAAAAUGAUUUAAUUCUAUCCAAACCUGGAAGAACUUGGAUUUAAAGUUGGUCAUUUAAAGCGGCAAUUUAUUAUGUUGCCCAUUCUAAGUGGGGGCAACAACCUCCGCUCAUACACAAGCUACUUGACCUGGGCCACACUUGCAAUUGCAGAAUGGCAUUAAAUUGCCUGGAUCAAGUUUUUUUCAUACUUUGACUACCAGCCAUAACAACAAAUUCAUUUUUUGUCAUGACCUAAUACAUACAUAUUUAUAUCUGAAACAAGUUUCAUGAAGAAUAAUGAUCUUUAACUUGUGCAAUGCACUUUGAUAUUUCCUGUUGCAUUUUCUUGUUAAAAUGCUGAUUGCCACUCACCAAAAUGAUCCCAUGAUCCCCUAUUUAUGGAAUUGUGAAAAAAACUUGGUUGUUUCAUAUUAUCUAAGAAUAAAAAUCCUCUAAGUGUAGAAAGAUACUUUAAUUUUACUUGUCCUAGUAAUCCUUAGAAAAUGAGAUUUCUGUUCAUCAUGUCUUUAGUAAUUUGCAAACUGUGGUGCCACCUUCUUCAAUAAUUUUACAGGAUUCCCUCUGCAGUUCAGGAGCACAUGGGUGAGAAGCAUUCUUUUUAGGAACUUUAAAGGCUACAAUGUCUUAUGAUAUGGCAACUAGUAAGAAAGUGACAGUGCUUGGA